GAAUGAAGAACGCAGCGAAAUGCGAUAAGUAAUGUGAAUUGCAGAUUUCAGUGAAUCAUCGAAUCUUUGAACGCACCUUGCGCCUUGUGGUAUUCCACAAGGCAUGCCCGUUUGAGUAUCAUUAAAUCAUCAACUCUAAAACCUUUGUGGUUUUUUUAGAGCUUGGUCUUGAGGGUUUUGCAGGCUUUUUUUUUUUCGAGUCUGCUCCCUUUAAAUGCGUUAGCGAGACUUCCCUAUGCUGAACCGUCUCUUUGACGUGAUAAUUAUCUGCGUCGAAUUUUGGUUCUCGUUGGGCUUGCUUCUAAUCGUCUGUUAAAGACAAAACGGAUUUGGGUGCAUAUAUGCGCCUUUUUCCAAAACCUUUUUUGAUCUCAAAUCGGGUAGGACUACCCGCUGAACUUAAGCAUAUCAAUAAGCGGAGGA
RNAcentral lists this unclassified non-coding RNA (423 nucleotides) under soil metagenome. RNAcentral's name for it is "partial contains 5.8S ribosomal RNA, internal transcribed spacer 2, and large subunit ribosomal RNA". The stretch from base 3 to 121 matches the Rfam family "5.8S ribosomal RNA", at positions 36 to 154 of the family's 154-position model. The record is from RNAcentral.